This 497-nucleotide ribosomal RNA is filed under the name uncultured bacterium. RNAcentral's name for it is "partial 16S ribosomal RNA". It matches the Rfam family "Bacterial small subunit ribosomal RNA", at positions 28 to 507 of the family's 1533-position model. The record is from RNAcentral.
GAUGAACGCUGGCGGCGUGCCUAAUACAUGCAAGUCGAGCGAACAGACGAGGAGCUUGCUCCUCUGACGUUAGCGGCGGACGGGUGAGUAACACGUGGAUAACCUACCUAUAAGACUGGGAUAACUUCGGGAAACCGGAGCUAAUACCGGAUAAUAUAUUGAACCGCAUGGUUCAAUAGUGAAAGACGGUUUUGCUGUCACUUAUAGAUGGAUCCGCGCCGCAUUAGCUAGUUGGUAAGGUAACGGCUUACCAAGGCAACGAUGCGUAGCCGACCUGAGAGGGUGAUAGGCCACACUGGAACUGAGACACGGUCCAGACUCCUACGGGAGGCAGCAGUAGGGAAUCUUCCGCAAUGAGCGAAAGCCUGACGGAGCAACGCCGCGUGAGUGAUGAGGGUCUUCGGAUCGUAAAACUCUGUUAUUAGGGAAGAACAAAUGUGUAAGUAACUAUGCACGUCUUGACGGUACCUAAUCAGAAAGCCACGGCUAACUACGUG